RNAcentral lists this microRNA (21 nucleotides) under Marchantia polymorpha subsp. ruderalis. The record is from RNAcentral. Lineage: Eukaryota; Viridiplantae; Streptophyta; Marchantiopsida; Marchantiales; Marchantiaceae.
UUUAGAUCCUGGGUUCCUUCC